CAGCAGCCGCGGUAAUACGAAGGGGGCUAGCGUUGCUCGGAAUGACUGGGCGUAAAGGGCGCGUAGGCGGCGGCCAAAGUCAGGCGUGAAAUUCCCGGGCUCAACCUGGGGGCUGCGUUUGAUACUUGGUUGCUUGAGUGGGGAAGAGGGUCGUGGAAUUCCCAGUGUAGAGGUGAAAUUCGUAGAUAUUGGGAAGAACACCGGUGGCGAAGGCGGCGACCUGGUCCUUUACUGACGCUGAGGCGCGAAAGCGUGGGGAGCAAACAGGAUUAGAUACCCCCGUAGUCCCUGUCUCUUAUAC
Molecule: ribosomal RNA, 301 nt
Filed under: uncultured bacterium
Lineage: Bacteria
Description: partial 16S ribosomal RNA
Rfam family: Bacterial small subunit ribosomal RNA
Source: RNAcentral